GACGUGACUUCAGAGUUUGAUCCUGGCUCAGGAUGAACGCUAGCGGCAGGCUUAACACAUGCAAGUCGAGGGGCAGCAUGACGGAACCUUCGGGUUUUGUCGAUGGCGACCGGCGCAAGGGUGCGUAACGCGUGAGCAACUUGCCCGUUUCAGGGGGAUAACCGGUGGAAACGCCGACUAAUACCCCAUGGUAUCAUAUUCAGGCAUCUUUAUAUGAUUAAAGAAUUUCGGAAACGGAUAGGCUCGCGUGACAUUAGCUAGAUGGCGGGGUAACGGCCCACCAUGGCGACGAUGUCUAGGGGUUCUGAGAGGAAGGUCCCCCACACUGGAACUGAGACACGGUCCAG
Molecule: ribosomal RNA, 347 nt
Filed under: uncultured bacterium
Lineage: Bacteria
Description: bacterial SSU rRNA
Rfam family: Bacterial small subunit ribosomal RNA
Source: RNAcentral